GUGGAUGGUAUCUUUCUCUCACAUGCCUCUCAUCUUUCUUUCUCAAUUGGGUUGACUUAUCAUUUCCCUCAAGAGAGGUAUGUGCCACCUAUUUAUACUAGUGUCCUUCCCUUUCCAAUAUGGAUUUGGAUUAAGUUUCCUAAAUCUCCAUCUAAGUCAGGACUGGAAUAACAAAUCUAAUCCCCAACUUCCAAACUUACAGAGAUACAUCAAAUAGGAAAGUCCUUGUAUCCUAAUCCUAAUGGGAUACUUUCCGGUAGCAAAUCCUCUUUUCUUCUAUUGAAUUCAAGCACGAAGUUGGGCCCACAUGGUUCUACCCCAUAUGUAUAUUUUUAAGUUUGCAUUCAAUAUAUCUUAUAUUUUAUCAAAUUCUUUUUCUUGGGCAAAUCAGUGAUGAAGAGGUUCCGUACUUUUUUCCAUUAAUUUAGAGUUGAUACAUUAAUUCCAAGGGGCAACCCUUUGUGGCGUAAAACUUGAUUCAUCAGAAAAAAGAAGCAGCAAACUAAAGCCAGGAGGUCUUGUGUGGCAAAUU
RNAcentral lists this long non-coding RNA (532 nucleotides) under Amborella trichopoda. Its description in RNAcentral is "long non-coding RNA (ATRI_LNC000113)". The record is from RNAcentral. Lineage: Eukaryota; Viridiplantae; Streptophyta; Magnoliopsida; Amborellales; Amborellaceae.